AGAUUGAACGCUGGCGGCAGGCCUAACACAUGCAAGUCGAGCGCGAAAGUUCCUUCGGGAAUGAGUAGAGCGGCGGACGGGUGAGUAACGCGUAGGAAUUUGCCCAGUAGUGGGGGACAACUCGGGGAAACUCGAGCUAAUACCGCAUACGCCCCAAGGGGGAAAGCAGGGGAUCUUCGGACCUUGCGCUAUUGGAUAAGCCUGCGUCGGAUUAGCUAGUUGGUGGGUAAGGCCUACCAAGGCAACGAUCCGUAGCUGGUCUGAGAGGAUGAUCAGCCACACUGGGACUGAGACACGGCCCAGACUCCUACGGGAGGCAGCAGUGGGAAUAGUUGGACAAUGGGGGCAACCCGUGAUCCAGCCAUGCCGCGUGUGUGAAGAAGGCCUUAGGGUUGUAAAGCACGUUCAGUGGGAAGAAAAGCGUGGACGCUAAUACGUCCGUCGGCCCUAGACGUUACCCACGAGAAGAA
This 470-nucleotide ribosomal RNA is filed under the name uncultured soil bacterium. RNAcentral describes it as "bacterial SSU rRNA". It matches the Rfam family "Bacterial small subunit ribosomal RNA", at positions 26 to 489 of the family's 1533-position model. The record is from RNAcentral.